This 345-nucleotide ribosomal RNA is filed under the name uncultured bacterium. RNAcentral's name for it is "bacterial SSU rRNA". It matches the Rfam family "Bacterial small subunit ribosomal RNA", at positions 8 to 347 of the family's 1533-position model. The record is from RNAcentral.
AGAGUUUGAUCCUGGCUCAGAUUGAACGCUGGCGGCAGGCCUAACACAUGCAAGUCGAGCGGCAGCGGGAAAGUAGCUCGCUACUUUUGCCGGCGAGCGGCGGACGGGUGAGUAAUGCCUGGGGAUCUGCCCAGUCGAGGGGGAUAACUACUGGAAACGGUAGCUAAUACCGCAUACGCCCUACGGGGGAAAGCAGGGGACCUUCGGGCCUUGCGCGAUUGGAUGAACCCAGGUGGGAUUAGCUAGUUGGUGAGGUAAUGGCUCACCAAGGCGACGAUCCCUAGCUGGUCUGAGAGGAUGAUCAGCCACACUGGAACUGAGACACGGUCCAGACUCCUACGGGAG